GAGGGUACAGCUCAGAGGUAGAGCACAUGCUUAGCAUGCACGAGGUCCUGGGUUCAAUCUCCAGUACCUCCA
This 72-nucleotide transfer RNA is filed under the name Camelus bactrianus (Bactrian camel). It matches the Rfam family "tRNA". Rfam says of the family: Transfer RNA (tRNA) molecules are approximately 80 nucleotides in length. RNAcentral also lists the same sequence under 2 other names. The record is from Rfam by way of RNAcentral. Lineage: Eukaryota; Metazoa; Chordata; Mammalia; Artiodactyla; Camelidae.